UUGUUGGUGAGGUAACGGCCCACCAAGGCUCCGAUGGAUAGCCGGCCUGAGAGGGUGAACGGCCACACUGGGACUGAGAUACGGCCCAGACUCCUACGGGAGGCAGCAGUAGGGAAUAUUGCGCAAUGGGCGAAAGCCUGACGCAGCGACGCCGCGUGGGUGAUGAAGCUCUUUGGAGUGUAAAACCCUUUCAGCAGGGAAGAACCGCAUACGGAGUAACUGCCGUAUGCCUGACGGUACCUGCAGAAGAAGCUCCGGCCAACUCCGUGCCAGCAGCCGCGGUAAUACGGGGGGAGCGAGCGUUGUUCGGAUUUACUGGGCGUAAAGGGCGCGUAGGUGGGUCUUCAAGUCAAAUGUGAAAACCGACGGCUUAACCAUCGGCCUGCAUUUGAUACUGUUGAUCUUGAGUACGGGAGAGGAAAGCGGAAUUCCUGGUGUAGCGGUGAAAUGCGUAGAUAUCAGGAGGAACACCGGUGGCGAAGGCGGCUUUCUGGCCCGAUACUGACACUGAGGCGCGAAGGCCGGGGGAGCAAACAGGAUUAGAUACCCUGGUAGUCCCGGCGGUAAACGAUGGGCACUAGGUGUUGGAGGUAUCGACCCCUUCAGUGCCGCAGCUAACGCAUUAAGUGCCCCGC
RNAcentral lists this ribosomal RNA (635 nucleotides) under uncultured bacterium. RNAcentral's name for it is "bacterial SSU rRNA". It matches the Rfam family "Bacterial small subunit ribosomal RNA", at positions 246 to 872 of the family's 1533-position model. The record is from RNAcentral.